Hordeum vulgare subsp. vulgare (domesticated barley) is the source of this 135-nucleotide non-coding RNA. NCBI's taxonomy places the organism in Eukaryota, Viridiplantae, Streptophyta, Magnoliopsida, Poales, Poaceae. The record is from Rfam.
AUACUAUUACUUCCGUCCCAAAAUUCCUGUCUUAGAUUUGUCUAGAUAUGGAUGUAUCUAAUACUAAAAUGCGACUACAUAUAUCCGUAUUUAGACAAAUUUAAGACAAGAAUUUUGGGACGGAGGGAGUAUCUG